Molecule: long non-coding RNA, 601 nt
Organism: Pyrgilauda ruficollis (rufous-necked snowfinch)
Lineage: Eukaryota; Metazoa; Chordata; Aves; Passeriformes; Passeridae
Exons: 3
Source: RefSeq, a predicted model, not a curated record
CGCGGGAUGAUGGCGUGCGAGGCACGAUGGUGUAAAAAUGGCCAAACGUGCACCUGCGCUGAUGUUUCCCCUCCCGUGUGCGGCAUAUUGUAAUACUGGCUCUCCGCGAGUGUUAAAAUGGAUUUUUGCCUGCUGGGAUGGGAUAACGCCCAGUGAACACAGGAUGAGGACACCUGCACAGAUCUGCCAACCAUCAGCACCCACCUUCUGAAGGAAAUAUGGACCAUAUUUUGAAUCAAAAUAUGGACAGUUAUGGACCAAAGCCCAUAACUGGAGGUGAUAAGAAUGGACCAAAACCACAACCAAGGAAUGUGCAUGCUCUGAAAAGGUGGAACCGAGGAGGAGCCAAGCUAAACAGUUCUUGGAACAUGUAAACUAGUUUGGGGGGAAGUUUACUAUGUAAAAGUAACUUUUAACUGAAAAAGUUACUUUAUAAUUGUUUGUGAAUAUGUAACAGGCUGAUGCAAUAGAAAUAGUAUCUAAAGGGUGUUUCCAAACUGGCAGGUGUGCUCUUGGCUGGGUACCAAGAUGCCCCCAGCCAUAAUAACCUUUGCUCUAUGCUCCUUGUCUCCUAUUGUCCUUUAUUAAACUUUUUAAAUGU